GUAACAAUCAGGGCAUUUUAAGUUUCACAGGCCGUCAAACUUUUUCUAUCUGAUUAUUACACUGCUGCUUUUUUCUUAUUAACUCCUAUGUAUGUUUGUAUCCGCCCAGUCAAUUUUUCGGCUGGGCUUUUUUUC
This 135-nucleotide antisense RNA is filed under the name Vibrio sp. ES.051. Its description in RNAcentral is "Vibrio regulatory RNA of OmpA". It matches the Rfam family "Vibrio regulatory RNA of OmpA". The record is from RNAcentral. Lineage: Bacteria; Pseudomonadati; Pseudomonadota; Gammaproteobacteria; Vibrionales; Vibrionaceae.